Molecule: long non-coding RNA, 778 nt
Organism: Cyprinus carpio carpio
Lineage: Eukaryota; Metazoa; Chordata; Actinopteri; Cypriniformes; Cyprinidae
Source: Ensembl
CUUGGCUGCAUAAUUUCAACACCAUCAACAUCAAUUCCAUGUGACAGUAUUAAAUCUAGAGUAUGAUUUCGACAAUGAGUAGGUCCUGAGACGUGUUGUCUAACCCCAAUAGAGUUCAGAAUGUCUAUAAAUGCUGAUCCCAAUGCAUCUGUUAUGUUCAUUGUGUUAAGUGUUUUAGGUUUCACUCUUGGGACUCUAAUUUUGAAAAUUACCAGACUAAGCAAGGGAGCAGCCAUUUUGGUUUCAGUUUGCUCAGCUCUCUCAAGCUUUAAGCUCCAUGUGACUGCCGCUCCAGUUUUCUUUAAUGUUCAUGUCUUCGAAAGCAUUGUCAUUUCACUCUCCUUUGAAGCAUAUUGGAGUAAACAUCAGGAGUUUUGAAAACUACACCCUGGCUCCAGUCUUUAUUUGAAGGGAGUUUGGCUUGCUGCUAAAUUGUGUUCACACAUAUGGAAACACACAAGGAGAGCAGUACAGUGAAAUGACAAAUCAGCUGGCUGAACAUCUUGGCAGAAGCGUACAGUAGCAAGUAGUGAGCAUCAUGGCUGAAAGUUUCACUCUCCUUUGAAGCAUAUUGGAGUAAACAUCAGGAGUUUUGAAAACUACACCCUGGCUCCAGUCUUUAUUUGAAGGGAGUUUGGCUUGCUGCUAAAUUGUGUUCACACAUAUGGAAACACACAAGGAGAGCAGUACAGCAUCUUUUUUAUUAUCAACAUGGAUAUUAAAAUCACCAACAAUUAAAACUUUAUCUGCAGCCAGCACUAACUCGGAUGUAAAAUCA